GGCUUCUCGAAUUGCAGUUCUCUCCUCCUGCUGGGUGUCAUCGGUGUCGGUUUGCAUCAGCUGAGAUUGUGAUGGACUGCUGUCUGACGGUUGCUGAGAAGCCGUUGCCGCUCACAAUCAUUCAUAGCUACACCAUUCAGGAAGGUGGAAAAGGAUGUGAAAUCAGCGCUACUGCUUUCAUUACAAAGGUUGGAAGGAUACUGUGCGUCUCCCACCCCCGUGAUAAAGCGUGGGUGAGAAGUCACAUUAACUAUCUGGAUAAGAAAAGACCUCACUAAAAUCAGGAAUAAAGAGGAGAGGGCUCUGGGAAAAGAUGGCUGAAGAACAAGGGGGUCUGACUCUGAACUGAGAGCUACAGACGUCAGAAUCCCUUCCAUUCCUGUUCAGAGUCUCAGAUGGUCACGCUGCGCUGU
Molecule: long non-coding RNA, 413 nt
Organism: Etheostoma spectabile (orangethroat darter)
Lineage: Eukaryota; Metazoa; Chordata; Actinopteri; Perciformes; Percidae
Exons: 4
Source: RefSeq, a predicted model, not a curated record